GGGCUAUUAGCCAAGAAAGUCUAUAUCCUAAGUUCCUUAUAGAUCCCUUAGGGAGCUGCCAAUUUGGCAUGCCCUUUGAUAUCCGAAAUCCUCACCAAAUCUGGCCCGACCUCACAAUAGUCAGGGGAGGGUUGGAGGGGGCAGCCAGAAAUGGGAGAGAGCCUCCUGGAACCAUGCCAGGAGGUGUAUUAGAUUAUAAAUUACUUAUUUAUUCAUAUUAAUGCCCAUCUCAGGGAUACCGAAAAUGGCUGGUCGACCCCAGCGAGCCCAGCAGCGACGAAGGAGGCUUACCCGGAUACGGCCUCUUUCCUUGCCAUCUAGGCCGUACCACCUUUCCUUCUUCUGUACCAAAAGACCACGGUUUCCGGAAGUGAGCCGUGAAGCAAGGCCUUCAGCAGGCCAAGGUCUGCAGGAUGAGCCCGCUGUCCCGGGGGCCGCGGAAUGAUUGCCGAUGAGUGGCCGGAAAGGUGAGGAAAGUGACCGACUCCAGACCUUCAGCUUCGGGGGUGAGGUGGAGAUCCAGACCAACGGCGACGAUGCUUUUCCGAAUGAAUGAAACGUGGCUUCCGCAGCAGAAGCAGCACGGCCUAGCGCAAAGAGAGCGUGGGCCCGGGAAUCCGAGGACCCGGGUUUUAACCCCAGUUCUGCCACCUGCCCGUGUGACCUCGAGUAAGUCGCUUAACUUCUCUGUGCCUCGGUUUCCUCAUCCCUUAAAAUGGAGAUUCAAUGCCUGACUCCCCCUGGGAGCCUCUCGUGGGACAGGGACGGUGUCUGACCUGAAUAACGUAUAUCUAUCCCACCGCUUAGAACAGUAAUUGACACCUAGUAAGUUCUUAGCAAAAAUAAUAAUCAUAAUUAUCAACCGCGGUGUCUUGUUAUAGCGUGAUGUGCUGUGAUGUCCCGAUUACCCCGUUCGGAAAUGUCUCCUGGUUUUUACUCUUCCUAGGCUCCCUCACCACACCCCACAAUCCACACAAACACACACUGGUGUCUUUAUCACCUCGGGCAUCUCGUUCUGACAGGAUAAGGUCCUAAUUAAGCGGCACCGUGGCGUAGUGGGAAAAGCACAGGCCUGGGAAUCGGAGGACCUGGAUUAUAAUCCUGGCUCCAACUACACGUCUGCUGUGUGACUUUGAUCAAGUUUUGUUUCGUUUUGCUUUGUUUUGCCGUCCGUCUCCCCCCGUUCUAGACUGAGAGCCAGCUGUUGGGUAGGGAUUGUCUCUAUUUGUUGCUGAAUUGUACUUUCCAAGCGCUUAGUACAGUGCUCUGCACACGGUAAGCGUUCAAUAAAUUCGGUUGAAUGAAUGAAUGAAUCAAGUCACUUCUCUGGGCCUCAGUUUCCUCAACCAUAAAAUGGGGAGUAAAUACAUGGUCUCCCUCUUCCUUUGAUCGUGAACCUCAUGUGGGGCAGAGAUUGUGUCCAACCCGAUUCAUCUGUAUCUACCCCAGCGCUUAGAACAGUGCUCGACACCUAAGUGUUCACAAAUGUCAUAACGAUCAUCAUGUCACAACGUGUGGCCUCUUUACCCCGGACUUGUUAGUUGCCACCGCCGUUCAUUCAUUCAGUCGUAUUUACUGAGCGCUUACCAUGUGCAGAGCACUGUAUUAAGCACUUGGAAAGUACAAUUCGACGAGAGAGAGAGAGA
RNAcentral lists this long non-coding RNA (1646 nucleotides) under Ornithorhynchus anatinus (platypus). RNAcentral describes it as "lncRNA (ENSOANG00000048019.1)". The record is from RNAcentral. Lineage: Eukaryota; Metazoa; Chordata; Mammalia; Monotremata; Ornithorhynchidae.